CGUUCCCAUCCCGAACACGGAAGUUAAGCCCCUCUGGGCCGAUGAUACUGCACGGGUAGCUGUGUGGGAAAGUAGGUCGCCGCCGGGA
This 88-nucleotide ribosomal RNA is filed under the name Deltaproteobacteria bacterium. Lineage: Bacteria; Pseudomonadati; Myxococcota; Myxococcia. The record is from RNAcentral.